UACCAGGCUCAAGGUUAAUCACUCAUUUCCGCUUUCAAUCUGUCUCAAUUACUGUUGUGGGAUGCUUCAAUUAGUCAUUCUCUCUCUCUAGGGGCACAGAGAGAUUACAGAUAACUCAUCCCACAUGGACUUCACAAUUUGAAUCCCUCUACCCUGCCAAAGAAAAAUCAUUGCUGGAAACCAGGAAGAUUAGCUAUCAUCCACUCUGCGCUCUGUCAAUGCUGCUCUUUCAUCAGACAAAGAGAAGCCAUCAGUCUUUGGAGUAUGAAAGCAUCCUGUUCUCAGUGACUGCCUCAGAUUAUGCUUACAACUACACAUCCAGAAGGCAGCAGGAAGCUACUAGACAAGAUGAGAUGACAGACAAAGAAGUAAAAAAAGCAGAUCACCACUGGACGACACCUAGACAUCUCGAAAGUGACAAGCACCAUGAAUCCAGAAAAAGCAGAGCCUUGCAGACCACCCUAUGAUGAGAUCACCUCCCUCUAAGCAAGAACAAUUGUCUCAUAGGAACCAAACUGCCUUCAAGCCUAAAAGAUUCCUCCAGAGCUUCAAAAUUAGCACCGAGGUAAUGAUGGGUCUGACACUGGCCCAUCUCAGCUAAAGUAUAGGCUUUUGUGGUGGGCCCCUCUGAAGCCCUGUAUCAGAGUGAGCGCCUCCAGCUACUCCUUUUCUUAUGCCCCU
RNAcentral lists this long non-coding RNA (681 nucleotides) under Fukomys damarensis (Damara mole-rat). Its description in RNAcentral is "lncRNA (ENSFDAG00000023523.1)". The record is from RNAcentral. Lineage: Eukaryota; Metazoa; Chordata; Mammalia; Rodentia; Bathyergidae.